RNAcentral lists this ribosomal RNA (1242 nucleotides) under metagenome. RNAcentral's name for it is "bacterial LSU rRNA". It matches the Rfam family "Bacterial large subunit ribosomal RNA", at positions 1564 to 2815 of the family's 2925-position model. The record is from RNAcentral.
UGAGUACGAGACGCUAAGGCGUCGAAGUAGUGGAUGUCAUACUUCCAAGAAAAGCUUGCACUGUCAUAAAUAGGAAACGCCUGUACCAUAACCGACACAGGUGGGUAGGUAGAGUAUACUAAGGGGCGCGAGAUAACUCUCUCUAAGGAACUCGGCAAAAUCACUCCGUAACUUCGGGAGAAGGAGUGCCUUAUUCGUAAGGCUGCAAUAACAAGAUCCAAGCAACUGUUUAUCAAAAACACAGGUCUCCGCUAAGUCGUAAGACGAUGUAUGGGGGCUGACGCCUGCCCAGUGCCAGAAGGUUAAAGAAGUCGGUUAGCAUUAGCGAAGCUGGUAACUGAAGCCCUGGUGAACGGCGGCCGUAACGAUAACGGUCCUAAGGUAGCGAAAUUCCUUGUCGGGUAAGCUCCGACCCGCACGAAGGGCGUAAUGAUUUGGAUACUGUCUCGGAGAGGGGCUCGGUGAAAUAGACUUGUCUGUGAAGAUGCGGACUACCUGCACCAGGACAGAAAGACCCUAUGAAGCUUUACUGUAACUUGAAAUUGAAAUUGGACUUUAUUCGCGCAGUAUAGGUGGGAGGUGUUGAUUAUAAUCUUGCGGGAUUAUUGGAGCCAUCAGUGAGAUACCACUCUUGUAAUGUUAGAUUUCUAACUUUGAAUCAUUAUCUGGUCAAAGAACAGUUUCAGGCGGGCAGUUUGACUGGGGCGGUCGCCUCCUAAAUGGUAACGGAGGCGUACAAAGGUUUCCUCUGAACGGGUAGAAAUCGUAUCUAGAGUGUAAAGGCAUAAGGAAGCUUGACUGUGAGACCUACAAGUCGAGCAGGGACGAAAGUCGGUCUUAGUGAUCUGACGGUACUGAGUGGAAAGGCCGUCACUCAACGGAUAAAAGUUACUCUAAGGAUAACAGGCUGAUCUCCCCCAAGAGUUCACAUCGACGGGGAGGUUUGGCACCUCGAUGUCGGCUCAUCGCAUCCUGGGGCGGUAGUACGUCCCAAGGGUUGGGCUGUUCACCCAUGAAAGCGGUACGCGAGCUGGGUUCAGAACGUCGUGAGACAGUUCGGUCCAUAUCCGGUGUAGGCGUUAGAAUAUUGAGGGGAGCCUUCUUUAGUACGAGAGGACCGAGAAGGACAUACCUCUGGUGUACCAGUUAUCGUGCCAACGGUAAACGCUGGGUAGCUAUGUAUGGAGUGGAUAACCGCUGAAAGCAUCUAAGUGGGAAGCCCACCUCAAGAUAAGUAUUCUC